Molecule: long non-coding RNA, 416 nt
Organism: Physella acuta
Lineage: Eukaryota; Metazoa; Mollusca; Gastropoda; Physidae
Source: RefSeq, a predicted model, not a curated record
UAGACUUCGUUCUCCACAACGAGACGUCCAGGGCUUUGCUUAAAUGGACAGAGAAUGUUGAGAUACCGGAUGAAUCUUUUUUUUCUACACUCAACUACAACCCACAGUUAGCCAUCAAAGGAGCGUACAGAGGAGAGCCGGAUGGUGCAAGACAGUUCAUCGCUCGCUACAAAGUUUGGCUAGGCGGCGAGUGUGGCGGCCGGUUUGUGAGGGAAAUUUGCAUUCUGACAACAAGUGACUUGCCUCGACUAGCCCAAGCCAAAGAGCUAUUCGCCAACAAAUUUUUCCUGAAUGAGGACAGGCUGGUGAUUGGCUGUCUGGAGGAGAAAAUCUUUAACGACACACGGGAUGAGUACCUGGGGGUCAAAGGUCUCAACACCAGCUUCUACAGCUCGCUGGAUUACGUCACGAAUCAA